UGGGGAAUAUUGCACAAUGGGCGGAAGCCUGAUGCAGCGACGCCGCGUGAGGGAUGGAGGCCUUCGGGUUGUGAACCUCUUUCGCCAGUGAAGAAGGCGCUCUCCGUUGUGGGGGUGUUGACGGUAGCUGGAUAAGAAGCGCCGGCUAACUACGUGCCAGCAGCCGCGGUAAUACGUAGGGCGCGAGCGUUGUCCGGAAUUAUUGGGCGUAAAGAGCUCGUAGGCGGCUGGUCGCGUCUGCCGUGAAAUCCUCUGGCUUAACUGGGGGCGUGCGGUGGGUACGGGCCGGCUUGAGUGCGGUAGGGGAGACUGGAACUCCUGGUGUAGCGGUGGAAUGCGCAGAUAUCAGGAAGAACACCGGUGGCGAAGGCGGGUCUCUGGGCCGUUACUGACGCUGAGGAGCGAAAGCGUGGGGAGCGAACAGG
Molecule: ribosomal RNA, 425 nt
Filed under: uncultured bacterium
Lineage: Bacteria
Description: bacterial SSU rRNA
Rfam family: Bacterial small subunit ribosomal RNA
Source: RNAcentral